UUAGGGAGGUGGGAGUUGAACCCACGACAAAGAAGUCAAAGUUCUUCGUUUUUCCAGUUAAACUACUCCUUA
Molecule: transfer RNA, 72 nt
Filed under: Mesocentrotus nudus
Lineage: Eukaryota; Metazoa; Echinodermata; Echinoidea; Camarodonta; Strongylocentrotidae
Description: tRNA-Gln
Source: RNAcentral